GACGGAGGGUGCAAGCGUUGCUCGGAAUCACUGGGCGUAAAGGGUGCGUAGGCGGUCUCGCAAGUCUGGCGUGAAAGCCCAAGGCUCAGCCUUGGAAGUGCGCUCGAAACGGCGAGGCUGGAGUGCCGGAGGGGAGAGUGGAAUUCCUGGUGUAGCGGUGAAAUGCGCAGAUAUCAGGAGGAACACCGGUGGCGAAGGCGGAUCUCUGGGCCUUACCUGACGCUGAGGCGCGAAAGCUAGGGGAGCGAACAGG
RNAcentral lists this ribosomal RNA (253 nucleotides) under uncultured bacterium. RNAcentral describes it as "partial 16S ribosomal RNA". It matches the Rfam family "Bacterial small subunit ribosomal RNA", at positions 524 to 776 of the family's 1533-position model. The record is from RNAcentral.